AGUGAACGCUGGCGGUAGGCCUAACACAUGCAAGUCGAACGGCAGCACAGAGGAGCUUGCUCCUUGGGUGGCGAGUGGCGGACGGGUGAGGAAUACAUCGGAAUCUACUCUGUCGUGGGGGAUAACGUAGGGAAACUUACGCUAAUACCGCAUACGACCUACGGGUGAAAGCAGGGGAUCUUCGGACCUUGCGGGAUUGAAUGAGCCGGUGUCGGGUUAGCUAGUUGGCGGGGUAAAGGCCCACCAAGGCGACGAUCCGUAGCUGGUCUGAGAGGAUGAUCAGCCACACUGGAACUGAGACACGGUCCAGACUCCUACGGGAGGCAGCAGUGGGGAAUAUUGGACAAUGGGCGCAAGCCUGAUCCAGCCAUACCGCGUGGGUGAAGAAGGCCUUCGGGUUGUAAAGCCCUUUUGUUGGGAAAGAAAUCCAUCUGGUUAAUACCCGGGUGGGAUGACGGUACCCAAAGAAUAAGCACCGGCUAACUUCGUGCCAGCCGCCGCCGUAA
RNAcentral lists this ribosomal RNA (506 nucleotides) under uncultured bacterium. RNAcentral's name for it is "partial 16S ribosomal RNA". It matches the Rfam family "Bacterial small subunit ribosomal RNA", at positions 29 to 523 of the family's 1533-position model. The record is from RNAcentral.